UACGAAGGGGGCUAGCGUUGCUCGGAAUCACUGGGCGUAAAGGGCUCGUAGGCGGCCAACUAAGUCGGAUGUGAAAUCCCCAGGCUCAACUUGGGAACUGCAUCCGAUACUGGAUGGCUUGAAUUCGGGAGAGGGGUGCAGAAUUCCAGGUGUAGCGGUGAAAUGCGUAGAUAUCUGGAGGAAUACCGGUGGCGAAGGCGGCAUCCUGGACCGACAUUGACGCUGAGGAGCGAAAGCUAGGGGAGCAAACGGG
Molecule: ribosomal RNA, 253 nt
Filed under: uncultured bacterium
Lineage: Bacteria
Description: partial 16S ribosomal RNA
Rfam family: Bacterial small subunit ribosomal RNA
Source: RNAcentral